This 463-nucleotide long non-coding RNA is filed under the name Equus asinus (donkey). Its description in RNAcentral is "lncRNA (ENSEASG00005035984.1)". The record is from RNAcentral. Lineage: Eukaryota; Metazoa; Chordata; Mammalia; Perissodactyla; Equidae.
UUUGAACUGGGACGUGGGUUUUCCCUGUCUUCAGACUUGAACUGAAACACCAGCUCUUCCUGGGUCUUGAGCCUGCUUGUCUUCAGAUUGCAACUUGCACCAUUGUGUCGCCUGGUUCUCAGGCCUUUAGACUCAGAACUACACCAUCAGCUCACCUGGAUCUCCAGCUUGUCAACUCUUCUGGCAAAUCAUGGGACUUGUCAACCUUCUUAACGAUGUGAGAGCUCUAUCUGUGACCUCCAGGGUGGACCGCUUCAGGGUACAUAGCUAGAAUUUGUGGAAAGGGGGAAAGUAGAUUGAUACAUGUGUGUAUACAGUCCUGUGGAUUCUAACCCAGAACAACUCAAGUGACCUCAGUUCACGAAGACAAAAGAAGAUUUUCGUUUGAUUGUGUCUGGGUGGGUGUUUCGUUCAAGCAAGAACUGAGCAAAAUAAAAGUUGUCUUUAUAAGUCCUCAGUCUAA